This 552-nucleotide ribosomal RNA is filed under the name uncultured eukaryote. RNAcentral's name for it is "bacterial SSU rRNA". It matches the Rfam family "Eukaryotic small subunit ribosomal RNA", at positions 290 to 842 of the family's 1831-position model. The record is from RNAcentral.
ACUCGCCGAAUGAGUUUCUGACCUAUCAACUCGAGACGGCGGGGUAGAGGCCCGCCGCGGUAACGACGGGUAACGGGGAAUCAGGGUUCGAUUCCGGAGAGGGAGCCCGAGAAACGGCUACCACUUCCAAGGAAGGCAGCAGGCGCGCAACUUACCCUAAUCUCGAUUCGAGGAGGUAGUGACAAGAAAUACCGAUGCGGGACCCUACGGGUGCCGCGUUCGGAAUGAGUACGAUUCGAACCACCUAACGAGGAACGAUCGGAGGGCAAGUCUGGUGCCAGCAGCCGCGGUAAUUCCAGCUCCAAUAGCGUACGUUAAAAGUUGCUGCAGUUAAAAAGCUCGUAGUUGAACGUUCGGGUUCCGCGGGACGGGGCCGCCCCGCGAGGGACGGCGCCGCCCCGGGGCUCGUGAUAUCUUAUCUCGCCGCCCGUCGCGAGGCGGACGGAGGGAUGGAUGAGGUUACCUGGAAAAAAUCGGGGCGAUCUAGGCGGGCGAACCUCGCCAACGAACGAUCGGACAUGGGAUAACGGAAGAGGGCGUCGGCUCGACUUC